GGGUUGAAGACAAAACAAGUCGUUUCCAAAACCUGAUCAGAACUCAUCUCAGAUGUCCAUUAAAUUUCAUACACAUUGAAGCUUUUAAGGCUUAGCAAAAAUUAAUUUGGAACUUGAAGAUCAAAAGAUUAUCAUCUGAAUAUAAUGUCUACUGGUUAGCAUCUCAGAAAACUGUGAAAAUGUGUUUGGCUAUGGCCAGGCGAAUUCUUCAGCAAACCUGACAAUAAAAGCAUAUAAAUCCCUUACAGGGAAACAAAUGUUGUAUUAUACUUUGGGAUUAUAUACUUAGGGCUAGCUCUAGUACCAGCUACAAGUACCUAGUCUUUAUGCUUCUGCCUUGUCUCCUUCCCAGCCCCAGGAAUGCAGUGGCCUGAUGGCAGCACCCAAAGGCAGCUGGUCCUCAGUGGCCACUUGGAGCUGCCUGGUUUCCUCAGUCAAUACCAAAGCUGCAGGACAGCUGUGGUUGGAGCGGCACCAUUGGACACAGCAUCUGACCUGGGACAUCAUAACUGAGUUCACUCACACUACGGAGCUAUUAUGCCAUCAUGAGAACCAGUCUGAACUGCGUCAUUUUGAAGCCAGCCAGCCAAGUUUGAGGAUGUAUCUCUGCCAUCCCAGAGACACCAGCAUCUCAAAUAUGGUAUUUGAAUACAAGAUUAUGCCACCUAUUACGCACACAUUGGCUGACAUUCAAGCUAUUGAGAAGUAAGAGCAACUUGUUCCCAUUGGUCUUCCUGUAUGAGCUUCUGAAUUACUCACCAUCAUCCAGAAAGUGGUAAAAUUGUAUUUAUGACUACUAUAUAAAAUUCAAACAAGACCUUUAUUUACAUUAGGUUUUCAAGCAGUGGGUAUUGCAACAUACAUAACAAAAUUUCAUACUACAUUUUUUAUAGGCAAUCAGGUUGAAAAACUGAUCUACAGAAUCAAUUUGUCAAAACUGGCUAAGCAGAAAAUGUGUCAACUCGGCUUAAGAGUACUUUGUCAAUUUUACACCAUUUUCUGUCAUUCAGAGUAUUUCUGAUGUCCUGGUUAUAAAAACAGAAUGCUCAUGCAGGUUAAUUUACAGUGAACUCUCUAGUAAAUUUUGUGUUCUUCACUUGUUCAGAAGAGCAUAUCAAUAUUCUCCCCACCUUGUCUCACAAAGCAAUUAUGGGUCCAGAUAGGGAGAAAACUCAAUCAGGAGAUUUUUAACAGAAAAAAAAAAAAAAAAAAAAGGCUUUAGCAAGACAAGGAGUCAGAAGUUCCAUUCUGUGGGUAACUCAAUUAGAAUCUCUCAUUCUGUAGAAAACAAGUUGUACUGUAAAUAUUAAUCAAGUUCUUUUAUUUCAUACUAACAUUAUGCAGCAACCAAUACGAGUUUCUAGGUAAACAGAGACUUUGUGAAAUGUUUUGCUGCAAAGCUGACCAGUAAUGCACGCAAAUGAUAAAGUCAUCAACUCUGCUUACUGCCAGAAAUUAAAAAAAAAAAGGCUUCAGGAGCAAGUAACACUGAUCCAUACUGUACUGUGCUCAAGCACUAGUCAACAAAAUCUAUUAAACUACAUGGGAGGAAAAAAAAAAUCAGAGCAGCUUUGUUAUCUUACUUGUGACACCUUAUUUAAAUUUCAGGCAUUACUUUUUAUAUCAGCAUAAAUAUGUAGCCUUCUACAGGUUUUAUGAUGUGGUUACAGACAUAAAAAUGUUAUAGUAGAAAGCAAGAGCUAGUUCAAGGAAUUUCAGACUUUGAAAUCAGCAAGAUACAAAGCUAAAAUUCAUAUGUUCCUUUUCAAGUUAUGAAUACUUUCACUAAAACAUAAAUAUUUUAACAUAUAUUAUUUUUUUUCUGACAUUCAAAAUUGUAAAGUCAAUAUGGCAGAAUUAUUGUUAAAAGCACAUAUUUACAAAUAUUCUUUUUUCCAUACAUAAAGUAUUUGGCAUAAUUAUAACAAUCUUACUGCAUACACAACUGUUUGCUUCUUUUUCACAUAAUGGUACACUCCUUAUUAAAAUUUACCAAUUAUGUACAAAAAUACUUGAACAUUUAUUAUAGAAAACUUCUAUAACUACUGUCAACAGCUUGUAACUGCUGAAGGUUUAAUUGAGAGAAUAUAAAAAAGUGGUCACUUUCUUCCAGUUAAACUAUCAACAAAUCAAACACAGCUAAGAUCAACAUGAGCUUCCCAACAAAAGAGGGAGAAUAUUUUUAACAAUAUGAUUUAAAAUGCAGUUCACACAUCUGUUCCCAAGCACAUUUAAACAGUCAAUAAAAGAAAGAGGAUACAAAACA
Parus major (Great Tit) is the source of this 2266-nucleotide long non-coding RNA. NCBI's taxonomy places the organism in Eukaryota, Metazoa, Chordata, Aves, Passeriformes, Paridae. The record is from Ensembl.